GGAGCAUUCUGCCGAUUGACUGUGUUCGAGAUUUUCAUGAAGAGAAUUACUUGAAUGGCGACGAAAAAACUCCUGAGGAGUUUUUGGUGGAAUGGCGCCAUGGACGCAAGGGAGCUAAUAGACAGUGGCCGGUGUAUCAAGCCAGGAUCAUCAAGGUUGCAAGUAUGUACACGCUAUCCAUAUUUAUUUAGCUUUAGUAAUUAAUUAAAUGAACAAAAGCCUGUAAACCAGGCAAUGUUUUCAGACCAAGGACCCCUUGGCUGAGAGAGAGAAGAAGCAGGGACACCCACUACAUAUUGUAUACAAUUGUGUUGUAAAUUAGACAGCUUCAUAGACUUUGACAGCACUAGUAGAGGGAUGCAAACUUGGCCCUGAAAAAUGAAAAUGAUCAUUUGAAAGACCUCAUAAUAAAGCAUAUUCCUCAAAUGAAGGAGGACAUUGCCUCGCUUGCUGGAAGAUGUGCAGCAACCUCAAAACAAUUGCAGCCUCAAAAUACUGUGGCAGCUGCAGAGCCUCAGAAGAAGCAGCCUGGUGAUGACGAUGAUGAUGGUGGUGGUGAUGGUGGAAAUAACAACAAAGUAAGUAACAAGUCAAAAAUGUAUCUAUAAGCUCUCAAGGCGGGAGGCGGGAAAACAUAUAGAUUGGAUAUUUUUGCUAUUUGACAUAA
Molecule: long non-coding RNA, 667 nt
Organism: Gymnodraco acuticeps
Lineage: Eukaryota; Metazoa; Chordata; Actinopteri; Perciformes; Bathydraconidae
Exons: 4
Source: RefSeq, a predicted model, not a curated record